This 400-nucleotide ribosomal RNA is filed under the name uncultured bacterium. RNAcentral's name for it is "bacterial SSU rRNA". It matches the Rfam family "Bacterial small subunit ribosomal RNA", at positions 355 to 748 of the family's 1533-position model. The record is from RNAcentral.
UGGGGAAUAUUGGGCAAUGGGCGCAAGCCUGACCCAGCAAUACCGCGUGUGUGAAGAAGGCCCGAGGGUUGUAAAGCACUUUCAGCGGGGAGGAAAAAGGCGGGGCCAACACCCCCGCCCUUGACAUUACCCGCACAAGAAGCACCGGCUAACUCCGUGCCAGCAGCCGCGGUAAUACGGAGGGUGCGAGCGUUAAUCGGAAUUACUGGGCGUAAAGCGUGCGUAGGCGGCGCGUUAAGCCAGGCGUGAAAGCCCCGGGCUCAACCUGGGAACGGCGCUUGGGACUGGCGUGCUCGAGUUUGGGAGAGGGGGGCGGAAUUCCGGGUGUAGCGGUGAAAUGCGUAGAUAUCCGGAGGAACACCAGUGGCGAAGGCGGCCCCCUGGCCCAAAACUGACGCUG